GCUGAGAGGAGCGGGCUUGCCUCAGUGCCCCAGCAGGGAGGCGCUGCAGGAGGGAAAAAUGAGGACGAAGUAGACGUUUCCUGUGUCCAGCUGAGCGCUGACCGGAGGGCCAUCUCAGAGGACUCGGGGCGCGGGGGGAGAGCUCCAUGUGCAAAACGGCGGGUUUUCAGUUAGAUUUCUGUUAGAUGAUCUGGAGGAUGACCAGUGAUGUUCUUCAGUGCAGGUCAUCCAGAGGACCCAAGAGAUGGUGGUUACUAAUAGACUUCCCACAGUACUUCUUCAUUCCAUGUGGACUCCUACAAUGGCGGUGAGCAUCACAGCUUCCCUUGAACUUCAUCUGGGACUGCCCUCUGGAUGUGGAAGACUUCCGAGCCCAGCAGUGUUCGGCCUACAAUGAUGUUCAGUAGCAGGGAUGUUAUUAUGAAUGGCUUCCACAGUACAACGACCCUGCCACCCACUGCACGCUCAGGUGUCAGGCACAGGGACAAAACUUUGUCCUGGAUGGGACUCAGUGCACCGCUGACCCCUUGGGCAUGUGUAUCAAUGACAUCUG
Molecule: long non-coding RNA, 553 nt
Organism: Cervus elaphus (red deer)
Lineage: Eukaryota; Metazoa; Chordata; Mammalia; Artiodactyla; Cervidae
Exons: 3
Source: RefSeq, a predicted model, not a curated record